GACGAACGCUGGCGGCGUGCUUAACACAUGCAAGUCGAACGGAAAGGCCCCCACCUUGGUGGGGGUGCUCGAGUGGCGAACGGGUGAGUAACACGUGGGUGAUCUGCCCUGUACUUCGGGAUAAGCUUGGGAAACUGGGUCUAAUACCGGAUAGGACCAUGGUUUAGUGUCUCAUGGUGGAAAAAUUAUUGUUUUGGUGCAGGAUGAGCUCGCGGCCUAUCAGCUUGUUGGUGGGGUAAUGGCCUACCAAGGCGUCGACGGGUAGCCAGCCUGAGAGGGUGGACGGCCACAUUGGGACUGAGAUACGGCCCAGACUCCUACGGGAGGCAGCAGUGGGGAAUAUUGCACAAUGGGCGCAAGCCUGAUGCAGCGACGCCGCGUGGGGGAUGACGGCCUUCGGGUUGUAAACUCCUUUCGUUAGGGACGAAGCCACACCUUUUUUGGGUGUGGUGACGGUACCUUUGUUAAGAAGCACCGGCUAACUACGUG
RNAcentral lists this ribosomal RNA (489 nucleotides) under uncultured bacterium. Its description in RNAcentral is "partial 16S ribosomal RNA". It matches the Rfam family "Bacterial small subunit ribosomal RNA", at positions 28 to 507 of the family's 1533-position model. The record is from RNAcentral.